Molecule: long non-coding RNA, 2066 nt
Filed under: Heterocephalus glaber (naked mole-rat)
Lineage: Eukaryota; Metazoa; Chordata; Mammalia; Rodentia; Bathyergidae
Description: lncRNA (ENSHGLG00000043673.1)
Source: RNAcentral
CUGAGGAUGACAUGGCCCCUCCACUCCUGAGGCCAGCCCAGGCCCUACCCAUUUGGCCUUGGCACCUUUCUUACUCCUUGGUUCCCUUCCCAGUGGGCAGGUGGACAGAUAGACCCCCGGUCAUGCUGUGCCCGUGGCCCCAGGCCACUUGCUACCCAGAGAGGUGCACCCUGACCCUCAGCUCCCACUAUACUGGCUCCCGGCAGGUCAGCCUGCACAGCCCACAAGUGUGGUGCCUCCUGCCACCUGCUCACCCAGAGCUGGUCUUUCUUAGGGCCUGGUCUGUGGGAUGGGCCCCAAGUUCCUUUCUCCCCUUUACCUAUGGCCUUUGCCUAAUAGCCCAUAGUUUUCUGAGCUUCACUUGGAGCUCCUCCCUGCUUCCUGCUUAUUCCUGGGAGCCAUUCCUUCCCCUCCAUGCCUGCUUGGGAGGCCCCUGAGCUGAGCCUGUGCUCACAGCCCACACUUAGCACAAAACUGUCCUUGUGGCUGCUGUCACACGCUACCUACAAGCCAUGAGGGCUGGUGGCUUAACUCAGAAGAUGGUGUGGAGGUCUGGCAAGACCUCCUCCCACACCGGCUUCUGUUCAGGCUCUUACCAGGGAUCGUGGGGAGCCGAGGGAUGUCACAGGUACUCUCAGGGUUGGGUUGAGACCACAGCUGUGUCCCCUUUAGGCAGUUGGUCGGUCUACCCUGUCCCUUCAGUGUGAGAAGAGGCUGGCUGAUGAGCAGAGAGGAGGAAGGAAGAAGGUCAGGCUGGUCAGCCACCAGGAGAAGCCAGAAGCUGGUACACAGGAAGAGCGCAGCCAAGCUGUUCAUGGUGGCUGUGAAGCAGACACUGAGCCAAGCUAGCUUUGACACCUUUACCCAGGCCCUGAAGGUCUACAAGGGUUCCGGGAGACCUCAAAGCACUGAUGGACUGCCUCAGUUGCCUCUUUGCUGAAGACCCCAAGAAGCACACCCUGCUCCAAGGCUUCUACCAGUUUGUGCUGGCCCCACCACAAACAGCAGUUUAAGGACAUCUGCAUUCAGCUCACUGGUCAAGGCUGCAGUAGCUGGCCAGAGCCUGGCCUUUCCCACAGGCAGCAGGCACUGCCAGCCCUGGGGCCCAGUGGGAAGAGGGGUCCUGAGCCCACGCCUGACCCAAUCCAAGGAGGUGGCCAAGCAGCUAGAUCCUGGAGUGCACCUGAACCAGGGAGACACCCACAGCUGUCCAGAAGUGUGGUCCAGAGUAGAACAGGGCCAGUCUGCUGCGAGUGCCUAUCUGGCAGACAUCCGAAGAGGCCCUGGGCAAGGCAGCCCACAGACAGCUCCUGGCAGCACUGAAGGUGUACAAACAGGAUGACAACUUCGACAAGGUGCUUGCUGUGCUGGCUGCACUGACCACAGCACGGCCCGAGGACCUCCCCCCUGUUGCAAAGCAAGUGGCCCUGCUGGGGGGUUCAGCAUGUUCGUGCGUCCCCACCACAAGCAGCACUUCCUGCAGACCUGCGCAGACCUGAUGGGGCUGCCCGCCUUCGUGCAGAGAACUGGGCCCCCUGGAAGAGAGCCCCACCACACCUGAACUUUCCCAUGGGGCUCCCCAGUCAGGUCCUUCACUGUUGCAAAGACCCAGAAGGGUCCAGAGCAAGAUCUUUUCCUUCCUUAAACAGACUCCAGAUGAUGGUGAGGAGCCCAGCCUGCCCCCUGGGCUUCCUGACCAUGGGCUCUAGGACGUGUCCAGCCUGCUUUGCUGCCACGAGGAAGCAGAGCCUCACACAGGUCUUCUGGCCGAAGCACCAGUAAGCAUCCAUGGAGACACUGCAGGGCCCUGAUGUGGCUCCACACUGGCCUGUCCAGCCCUGCUGUGGGCCACGGGCCACCUCCCACAUUGCGACAUGGAGGCUGGCUUCCUGCUCGCUGCCAGGCCCACUGCGGGGCCUCAGGUGGGAGCUGUGGCUCGUGGGACCUGGAAGAUGUCCCUUUCCCCGAGAUUUCCGUGCCGCUGGCUUGUGAGUGCUGCUGCCUGAGCUGUGAGCCUGCUCUUAUUCAGGGACAGGGUUUAAUAAAAAGUGCGGACAGUGGCUACG